GAUGAACGCUGGCGGCGUGCCUAAUACAUGCAAGUCGAGCGAACAGACGAGGAGCUUGCUUCUCUGACGUUAGCGGCGGACGGGUGAGUAACACGUGGAUAACCUACCUAUAAGACUGGGAUAACUUCGGGAAACCGGAGCGAAUACCGGAUAAUAUAUUGAACCGCAUGGUUCAAUAGUGAAAGACGGUUUUGCUGUAACUUAUAGAUGGAUCCGCGCCGCAUUAGCUAGUUGGUAAGGUAACGGCUUACCAAGGCAACGAUGCGUAGCCGACCUGAGAGGGUGAUCGGCCACACUGGAACUGAGACACGGUCCAGACUCCUACGGGAGGCAGCAGUAGGGAAUCUUACGCAAUGGGCGAAAGCCUGACGGAGCAACGCCGCGUGAGUGAUGAAGGUCUUCGGAUCGUAAAACUCUGUUAUUAGGGAAGAACAAAUGUGUAAGUAACUAUGCACGUCUUGACGGUACCUAAUCAGAAAGCCACGGCUAACUACGUG
This 497-nucleotide ribosomal RNA is filed under the name uncultured bacterium. RNAcentral's name for it is "partial 16S ribosomal RNA". It matches the Rfam family "Bacterial small subunit ribosomal RNA", at positions 28 to 507 of the family's 1533-position model. The record is from RNAcentral.